This is a long non-coding RNA of Coregonus clupeaformis (lake whitefish), 1524 nucleotides long. RefSeq lists it as uncharacterized. The record is from RefSeq and is a predicted model, not a curated record. The transcript has 4 exons. NCBI's taxonomy places the organism in Eukaryota, Metazoa, Chordata, Actinopteri, Salmoniformes, Salmonidae.
AAGAUGACUAACAAAUAGCCUACCAAAUAUCAGAAAUUAUAAGCAGAAAAAUAUCUCAAUUAGGCUUGAAAACAAAAAAAUGUCCAUACCCCCUGUCGUUCAUCCGUCCCUGAAUAACCUGAGCAAGUAGACUUUUGAAGUAAUUGUUUGACAAUCAGAUGAAAACAUCAUGACUGGUUCUGUUUAUGCCACAUUAAAAGGUAAUACAUUUUAAAAGUUAAACGACAUAUGUUUUCUAGUAGGCCCAUAGAGAUCCUAAUAAAAUAAUAUGGAUUCUGUAUGUAAUAUUAUGAUUAGGCCAAUCCAUUUAUUUAUUUUUGCUCGUGCACACAUAGGAGUUCUCUGUACCGGGAGGAAAUAAAAUCUACUUUCAUCCCUGAAUGCCAAGCGUCACGUCUGGAGGAAACCUGGCACCAUCCCUAAUGUGAAGGACUACAGUGUCUAAUACAUAACACUAUUAGAACUAACAGUUUAAUAACAACCUAGUUUAGUACUUAAAGGGACAUUUCAGCCCUGGUCUAUUUCACUAUAUAUGUCCAUUAAUAUGUUAUUAACAUAUCCUAUGUGUCAUAAACAUUUUGAAUUUCCUCACUACACACAAAUACGAGCGUUUUUGCGUGUCACCGGUAGAAACGGGUCAGCUACAUUUCGUGGUUGUAAGCAAACCACAAUAUCCAGAAUUCAUAGCGAUUUCGGGACGUAGUACUGCCCCGUGGAGGUGUAUCCAAUUGAUGUGAGAAAUAUCAAAAUAUCUGUGUUUGUAGUUAGAACUUUCAGCCAGAGUAUUUCGAAACGGAACUGAAGUCUCAACUGAUGGGGUUGCCAUGUCGUCGAACGUUGAAAAGUGAUGCUAUUCCAUCAAUUUUCCCCAUCACUUCAAAGAGGAAGGGAUCCAAUCAGCCAACAUCAACGCAGCAGAAAAAAAGUCAAGCUGAGAGUCCAAUCCCAUCAACAUCUGUAGCGGCAUCAACAUCAAGCUCAGCACCAGGAACUAGUACUAAUCCGGCUGCUGAUGAUGACCAUGACACCAGCUUUAGUAGUACAGAGCCUGUAGACCCAUUGGAUGAAAGCUUUCAGCCUGGAAUAAGCUGAAGUUCAACAUCAUCUGACUUUGAAACAAGCCAGGACAGCCAAAGGAGACUUGCAGUACAUGCAAAUCUUCUGCAAGAGGUCGAAGCAGUGGGUGGUGAAGAACAUCUCCGCAGCGCCAAAGACUGGUAAACCAUCUGCCAUUACCCAACACCAGAAGACGUUCACCAGCUGAAGAAUAUUCUGGAACCUGCCUGGAACAUUCAACCAACACGACAUCCAUAUUCAGUUAGACUAAUGUUGUUGUUUAAUAUAGAAUGCCUAGUAUGCUCACUACUGCAUUGUGGUAUAGAUAUUGCUAGCUGUUGUACAUAUGUAUAUAAUGGUGUUUUAUAGCUUUUUUACAAGUGUACUGACAAGUGACUAAAUUAUUCCAGCUUCAUCAGAAACCAAUGAUUCCAGCUGCAUCAGAAACCAAUAAAGUGUUGACUUUAA